Molecule: ribosomal RNA, 444 nt
Filed under: uncultured bacterium
Lineage: Bacteria
Description: bacterial SSU rRNA
Rfam family: Bacterial small subunit ribosomal RNA
Source: RNAcentral
CUCCUACGGGAGGCAGCAGUGGGGAAUAUUGGACAAUGGGCGCAAGCCUGAUCCAGCCAUACCGCGUGGGUGAAGAAGGCCUUCGGGUUGUAAAGCCCUUUUGUUGGGAAAGAAAUCCUGCCGGUUAAUAACCAGUAGGGAUGACGGUACCCAAGGAAUAAGCACCGGCUAACUUCGUGCCAGCAGCCGCGGUAAUACGAAGGGUGCAAGCGUUACUCGGAAUUACUGGGCGUAAAGCGUGCGUAGGUGGUUGUUUAAGUCUGUCGUGAAAGCCCUGGGCUCAACCUGGGAAUUGCGAUGGAUACUGGGCAACUAGAGUGUGGUAGAGGAUAGUGGAAUUUCCGGUGUAGCAGUGAAAUGCGUAGAGAUCGGAAGGAACAUCUGUGGCGAAGGCGACUAUCUGGGCCAACACUGACACUGAGGCACGAAAGCGUGGGGAGCAAA